This is a long non-coding RNA of Larimichthys crocea (large yellow croaker), 830 nucleotides long. RefSeq lists it as uncharacterized. The transcript has 2 exons. The record is from RefSeq and is a predicted model, not a curated record. Lineage: Eukaryota; Metazoa; Chordata; Actinopteri; Sciaenidae.
CAGCGUGUGUCAGAUAGCAGAUAAUAACUGUAACAAGUUCACUGUUAACUGGAGGCGAUUUGGACAUAAUAGACAAUGAACUUUGCGUAGGCAUCCGAGCUAUGUGUAUCACUGUAGUGUACAGUUUUUUUAAAUUUCUUUCAGACUCCAUCUGUGGUGUCCACAGGUGUGUCGCCAUGGCUUGAAACCAAGAGGGAAGAUAAGUGCUGAGUGAGCACACACAACAGCUACUUUGUCUUUCUCAAACAUCUUCAAGGUCCCUGAGGAGGGAUAAAUGGCCAAGAGGAGGUGCCUUCCCAGGAGAGACUCAUCUGGAGUGGUACAGGGCUCCAGCAUGCGGCGGCAGAGCAGCAGGGCUCGUUGCACUCGCUGUUCCUUUUUCCUAUGCAUAUACCUUUUUCAUAUGUAACUUUAAAGAGGCAUAGGGCAUGGGAAAAUGGGGCUGCAGAGGUAUUCCACGGGGCAGACAGCCGUUUCAUCAUCCUCUCUGCAUGACAGCUGACCUCAAAGUGCACACACACACACACAACAUACUCUCUCUCACACACACACCAGGGUCCAGCCUGCCAUGGACUUACUGUACGGAGGAAAACUACAAAGUGUAAAUCCUGACACAUUGAGCGCGGGUGAUUUUUGUGUCUCUGUGAUUCAUUUUUAUGUAAUAUCAUAACUCAGAUUUCAUCAUGUUCAUCCGUGAUGGCAUUGCGUGUGUGGAGUGUAUUUCUGCUACUUCAUUGUUCAUUUGAAACACGUGUUUGCUUCUGAAUCAUUUGUUUGCUGAUGUUUUUAAAUAAAGAAAUGAUGACAUUAAAUACUGGAUUUGACAUUCA